This is a small nuclear RNA of Oncorhynchus tshawytscha (Chinook salmon), 176 nucleotides long. Its record names the gene U2. It matches the Rfam family "U2 spliceosomal RNA". From Rfam's summary of the family: U2 is a small nuclear RNA (snRNA) component of the spliceosome (involved in pre-mRNA splicing). Lineage: Eukaryota; Metazoa; Chordata; Actinopteri; Salmoniformes; Salmonidae. The record is from Ensembl.
AUAAAUAUUUUUCAAAAAAAAAAAUCUGUUCUUAUCAGUUUAAUAUCUGAUACGUCCCCUAUCUGGGGACCAUAUAUUAAAUUGAUUUUUGGAACAGGGAGAUGGAAUAGGGGCUGCUCCGUCCACUCCACGCACCGACCUGGUAUUGCAGUACCUCCAGGAACGGUCCACCCCGU